GGCCGGGUGGUGCAAUGGUAACACGCGCAAUCUACUUGAAUCUCCCAAGUUUUCGUUUGCAAGUUCCUCGUUUGAUUCGGGGUCCGGCCU
Non-coding RNA from Mycena metata, 90 nucleotides. Lineage: Eukaryota; Fungi; Basidiomycota; Agaricomycetes; Agaricales; Mycenaceae. The record is from the annotation of a GenBank genome assembly.